CAAAGGUUCCCUCAGAAUGGUUGGAAAUCAUUCAUAGAGUGUAAAGGCAUAAGGGAGCUUGACUGCGAGACCUACAAGUCGAGCAGGGUCGAAAGACGGACUUAGUGAUCCGGUGGUUCCGCAUGGAAGGGCCAUCGCUCAACGGAUAAAAGCUACCCCGGGGAUAACAGGCUUAUCUCCCCCAAGAGUUCACAUCGACGGGGAGGUUUGGCACCUCGAUGUCGGCUCAUCGCAUCCUGGGGCUGUAGUCGGUCCCAAGGGUUGGGCUGUUCGCCCAUUAAAGCGGUACGCGAGCUGGGUUCAGAACGUCGUGAGACAGUUCGGUCCCUAUCCGUCGUGGGCGUAGGAAAUUUGAGAGGAGCUGUCCUUAGUACGAGAGGACCGGGAUGGACAUACCUCUGGUGUACCAGUUGUCGUGCCAACGGCAUAGCUGGGUAGCUAUGUGUGGACGGGAUAAGUGCUGAAAGCAUCUAAGCAUGAAGCCCCCCUCAAGAUGAGAUUUCCCAACUUCGGUUAUAAGAUCCCUCAAAGAUGAUGAGGUUAAUAGGUUCGAGGUGGAAGCAUGGUGACAUGUGGAGCUGACGAAUACUAAUCGAUCGAAGACUUAAUCAAAA
RNAcentral lists this ribosomal RNA (614 nucleotides) under Staphylococcus aureus. RNAcentral describes it as "partial 23S ribosomal RNA". It matches the Rfam family "Bacterial large subunit ribosomal RNA", at positions 2311 to 2925 of the family's 2925-position model. Lineage: Bacteria; Bacillati; Bacillota; Bacilli; Caryophanales; Staphylococcaceae. The record is from RNAcentral.